GAUUGAACGCUGGCGGCAGGCCUAACACAUGCAAGUCGAGCGGUAGCACAGAGAGCUUGCUCUCGGGUGACGAGCGGCGGACGGGUGAGUAAUGUCUGGGAAACUGCCUGAUGGAGGGGGAUAACUACUGGAAACGGUAGCUAAUACCGCAUAACGUCGCAAGACCAAAGUGGAGGACCUUCGGGCCUCAUGCCAUCAGAUGUGCCCAGAUGGGAUUAGCUAGUAGGUGGGGUAACGGCUCACCUAGGCGACGAUCCCUAGCUGGUCUGAGAGGAUGACCAGCCACACUGGAACUGAGACACGGUCCAGACUCCUACGGGAGGCAGCAGUGGGGAAUAUUGCACAAUGGGCGCAAGCCUGAUGCAGCCAUGCCGCGUGUGUGAAGAAGGCCUUCGGGUUGUAAAGCACUUUCAGCGGGGAGGAAGGCGUUAAGGUUAAUAACCUUGGCGAUUGACGUUACCCGCAGAAGAAGCACCGGCUAACUCCGUGCCAGCAGCCGCGGUAAUACGGAGGGUGCAAGCGUUAAUCGGAAUUACUGGGCGUAAAGCGCACGCAGGCGGUCUGUCAAGUCGGAUGUGAAAUCCCCGGGCUCAACCUGGGAACUGCAUUCGAAACUGGCAGGCUAGAGUCUUGUAGAGGGGGGUAGAAUUCCAGGUGUAGCGGUGAAAUGCGUAGAGAUCUGGAGGAAUACCGGUGGCGAAGGCGGCCCCCUGGACAAAGACUGACGCUCAGGUGCGAAAGCGUGGGGAGCAAACAGGAUUAGAUACCCUGGUAGUCCACGCCGUAAACGAUGUCGAUUUGGAGGUUGUGCCCUUGAGGCGUGGCUUCCGGAGCUAACGCGUUAAAUCGACCGCCUGGGGAGUACGGCCGCAAGGUUAAAACUCAAAUGAAUUGACGGGGGCCCGCACAAGCGGUGGAGCAUGUGGUUUAAUUCGAUGCAACGCGAAGAACCUUACCUGGUCUUGACAUCCACAGAACUUUCCAGAGAUGGAUUGGUGCCUUCGGGAACUGUGAGACAGGUGCUGCAUGGCUGUCGUCAGCUCGUGUUGUGAAAUGUUGGGUUAAGUCCCGCAACGAGCGCAACCCUUAUCCUUUGUUGCCAGCGGUUCGGCCGGGAACUCAAAGGAGACUGCCAGUGAUAAACUGGAGGAAGGUGGGGAUGACGUCAAGUCAUCAUGGCCCUUACGACCAGGGCUACACACGUGCUACAAUGGCAUAUACAAAGAGAAGCGACCUCGCGAGAGCAAGCGGACCUCAUAAAGUAUGUCGUAGUCCGGAUUGGAGUCUGCAACUCGACUCCAUGAAGUCGGAAUCGCUAGUAAUCGUAGAUCAGAAUGCUACGGUGAAUACGUUCCCGGGCCUUGUACACACCGCCCGUCACACCAUGGGAGUGGGUUGCAAAAGAAGUAGGUAGCUUAACCUUCGGGAGNGGCGCUUACCACUUUGUGAUUCAUGACUGGGGUGAAGUCGAACAAGGUAACC
This 1482-nucleotide ribosomal RNA is filed under the name uncultured bacterium. Its description in RNAcentral is "bacterial SSU rRNA". It matches the Rfam family "Bacterial small subunit ribosomal RNA". The record is from RNAcentral.